RNAcentral lists this ribosomal RNA (253 nucleotides) under uncultured bacterium. Its description in RNAcentral is "partial 16S ribosomal RNA". It matches the Rfam family "Bacterial small subunit ribosomal RNA", at positions 524 to 776 of the family's 1533-position model. The record is from RNAcentral.
UACGUAGGGAGCAAGCGUUGCCCGGAAUCAUUGGGCGUAAAGCGCGCGUAGGUGGCCCCAUAAGUCCGCUGUGAAAGUCAAAGGCUCAACCUUUGAAAGCCGGUGGAUACUGUGGGACUAGAGUACGGAAGAGGCGAGUGGAAUUCCUGGUGUAGCGGUGGAAUGCGCAGAUAUCAGGAGGAACACCAAUAGCGAAGGCAGCUCGCUGGGACGUUACUGACACUGAGGCGCGAAAGCGUGGGGAGCGAACAGG